UCCCUUGUGGCUCAGAGGUAAAGAAUCUGCCUGAGAUGCAGGGGACCCAGGUUCGAUCCCUGGAUCGGGAG
This 71-nucleotide transfer RNA is filed under the name Ovis aries (sheep). It matches the Rfam family "tRNA". Rfam says of the family: Transfer RNA (tRNA) molecules are approximately 80 nucleotides in length. Their secondary structure includes four short double-helical elements and three loops (D, anti-codon, and T loops). Further hydrogen bonds mediate the characteristic L-shaped molecular structure. tRNAs have two regions of fundamental functional importance: the anti-codon, which is responsible for specific mRNA codon recognition, and the 3' end, to which the tRNAs corresponding amino acid is attached (by aminoacyl-tRNA synthetases). tRNAs cope with the degeneracy of the genetic code in two manners: having more than one tRNA (with a specific anti-codon) for a particular amino acid; and 'wobble' base-pairing, i.e. permitting non-standard base-pairing at the 3rd anti-codon position. Lineage: Eukaryota; Metazoa; Chordata; Mammalia; Artiodactyla; Bovidae. The record is from Rfam by way of RNAcentral.